Molecule: ribosomal RNA, 764 nt
Filed under: uncultured Streptococcus sp.
Lineage: Bacteria; Bacillati; Bacillota; Bacilli; Lactobacillales; Streptococcaceae
Description: bacterial SSU rRNA
Rfam family: Bacterial small subunit ribosomal RNA
Source: RNAcentral
GACGAACGCUGGCGGCGUGCCUAAUACAUGCAAGUAGAACGCUGAAGGAGGAGCUUGCUUCUCUGGAUGAGUUGCGAACGGGUGAGUAACGCGUAGGUAACCUGCCUGGUAGCGGGGGAUAACUAUUGGAAACGAUAGCUAAUACCGCAUAAGAGUGGAUGUUGCAUGACAUUUGCUUAAAAGGUGCAAUUGCAUCACUACCAGAUGGACCUGCGUUGUAUUAGCUAGUUGGUGGGGUAACGGCUCACCAAGGCGAUGAUACAUAGCCGACCUGAGAGGGUGAUCGGCCACACUGGGACUGAGACACGGCCCAGACUCCUACGGGAGGCAGCAGUAGGGAAUCUUCGGCAAUGGACGGAAGUCUGACCGAGCAACGCCGCGUGAGUGAAGAAGGUUUUCGGAUCGUAAAGCUCUGUUGUAAGAGAAGAACGAGUGUGAGAGUGGAAAGUUCACACUGUGACGGUAUCUUACCAGAAAGGGACGGCUAACUACGUGCCAGCAGCCGCGGUAAUACGUAGGUGGCAAGCGUUAUCCGGAUUUAUUGGGCGUAAAGAGAGUGCAGGCGGUUUUCUAAGUCUGAUGUGAAAGCCUUCGGCUUAACCGGAGAAGUGCAUCGGAAACUGGAUAACUUGAGUGCAGAAGAGGGUAGUGGAACUCCAUGUGUAGCGGUGGAAUGCGUAGAUAUAUGGAAGAACACCAGUGGCGAAGGCGGCUACCUGGUCUGCAACUGACGCUGAGACUCGAAAGCAUGGGUAGCGAACAGG